UCAGGACGAACGCUGGCGGCGUGCCUAAUACAUGCAAGUGGAACGCAUGAUUGAUACCGUAGCUUGCUACACCAUUAAUCAUGAGUCGCGAACGGGUGAGUAACGCGUAGGUAACCUGCCUACUAGCGGGGGAUAACUAUUGGAAACGAUAGCUAAUACCGCAUAAGAGUUUUUAACACAUGUUAGAAAUUUAAAAGGAGCAAAUGCUUCACUAGUAGAUGGACCUGCGUUGUAUUAGCUAGUUGGUAAGGUAACGGCUUACCAAGGCGACGAUACAUAGCCGACCUGAGAGGGUGAUCGGCCACACUGGGACUGAGACACGGCCCAGACUCCUACGGGAGGCAGCAGUAGGGAAUCUUCGGCAAUGGGGGGAACCCUGACCGAGCAACGCCGCGUGAAGUGAAGAAGGUUUUCGGAUCGUAAAGCUCUGUUGUAAGAGAAGAACGUUGAGUAGAGUGGAAAGUUACUCAAGUGACGGUAUCUUACCAGAAAGGGACGGCUAACUACGUGCCAGCCGCCGC
Molecule: ribosomal RNA, 521 nt
Filed under: uncultured bacterium
Lineage: Bacteria
Description: bacterial SSU rRNA
Rfam family: Bacterial small subunit ribosomal RNA
Source: RNAcentral